UACGGAGGGUGCAAGCGUUAUCCGGAUUCACUGGGUUUAAAGGGUGCGUAGGUGGGUCUGUAAGUCCGUGGUGAAAUCUCCGAGCUUAACUUGGAAACUGCCGUGGAUACUACCGGUCUUGAAUAUCGUGGAGGUGAGCGGAAUAUGUCAUGUAGCGGUGAAAUGCUUAGAGAUGACAUAGAACACCCAUUGCGAAGGCAGCUCACUACCCGAAUAUUGACUCUGAGGCACGAAAGCGUGGGGAUCAAACAGG
Molecule: ribosomal RNA, 253 nt
Filed under: uncultured bacterium
Lineage: Bacteria
Description: partial 16S ribosomal RNA
Rfam family: Bacterial small subunit ribosomal RNA
Source: RNAcentral